AACGAACGCUAUCGGUAUGCUUAACACAUGCAAGUCGGACGGACUAAUUAGGGCUUGCUCCAAUUAGUUAGUGGCAGACGGGUGAGUAACACGUGGGAAUCUGCCCCUCAGUACGGAAUAACUUUUAGAAAUAAAAGCUAAUACCGUAUAUUCUCUACAGAGGAAAGAUUUAUCGCUGAUGGAUGAGCCCGCGUCAGAUUAGGUAGUUGGUGAGGUAACGGCUCACCAAGCCGACGAGCUGUAGCUGGUCUGAGAGGAUGAUCAGCCACACUGGGACUGAGACACGGCCCAGACUCCUACGGGAGGCAGCAGUGGGGAAUAUUGGACAAUGGGCGAAAGCCUGAUCCAGCAAUACCGAGUGAGUGAUAAAGGCCCUAGGGUUGUAAAGCUCUUUUAGCAAGGAAGAUAAUGACGUUACUUGCAGAAAAAGCCCCGGCUAACUCCGUG
RNAcentral lists this ribosomal RNA (447 nucleotides) under uncultured bacterium. RNAcentral describes it as "partial 16S ribosomal RNA". It matches the Rfam family "Bacterial small subunit ribosomal RNA", at positions 29 to 507 of the family's 1533-position model. The record is from RNAcentral.